This 479-nucleotide ribosomal RNA is filed under the name uncultured bacterium. RNAcentral describes it as "partial 16S ribosomal RNA". It matches the Rfam family "Bacterial small subunit ribosomal RNA", at positions 28 to 523 of the family's 1533-position model. The record is from RNAcentral.
GACGAACGCUGGCGGCGUGCUUAACACAUGCAAGUCGAACGGUAAGGCCCUUCGGGGUACACGAGUGGCGAACGGGUGAGUAACACGUGGGUGAUCUGCCCUGCACUUCGGGAUAAGCCUGGGAAACUGGGUCUAAUACCGGAUAGGACCACUGCCUGCAUGGGUGGUGGUGGAAAGCUUUUGCGGUGUGGGAUGGGCCCGCGGCCUAUCAGCUUGUUGGUGGGGUGAUGGCCUACCAAGGCGACGACGGGUAGCCGGCCUGAGAGGGUGACCGGCCACACUGGGACUGAGAUACGGCCCAGACUCCUAUGGGAGGCAGCAGUGGGGAAUAUUGCACAAUGGGCGCAAGCCUGAUGCAGCGACGCCGCGUGAGGGAUGACGGCCUUCGGGUUGUAAACCUCUUUCAGCACCGACGAAGCGCAAGUGACGGUAGGUGCAGAAGAAGGACCGGCCAACUACGUGCCAGCCGCCGCCUGUAA